GGGUGCUAUCCAGCAAAGGACAGGGAGGUAAGGCCCUGUCCUCGGAUAGAUAUCUGCUUCAUGGGAUUUUCAAUCUGAUAGGAGCAAUAGUUCCUAAUCCUGGGGUCUCUAGCCUGACAGGAAGACACCUGGUCUUUUUCCCCAGAAGAUCUCUGAGACUGAUGGGAAGGGGCGAGUCAAUAUCCUCUCAAGUACCUCACCUGAUGAAGGAGACUUGAUCUGACAUCAAUUUCCAGGAAGUUUCCAGGCUGUUAGAGGAAACGCAUUCUCAUCUGGAAAGCCGUCCAAAAUUCGGUGAAGACUUCCACUUGGCGUGAACCUCUCUUCAAGCACCAUUUCCUUACGUAUGAACACAUGCCGGUCUUGCCUGGACUGACCUUCCUGAAUGCAGAUUGGAAUGGUAAUUGAAAGAACUUUCAUGAUAUUAUUCAGUCUUUGCAUCAAGCAUGCCACUUAUUUAAUCUGCACAAGUGUCCUGCAAGAGAGACACUAGGAUCCCUGUCUGAAGCCUGUUCUCUUCCGCUGAUACUUCGCUGCUACCCCAGAACAAGCCUACUCCUCCCUCGGGGACAGAAGCAUCAUGACUGAGUCCUCCCCACUCUCCACUCCCAUCACUAGCCAUCAACAUCUCGGCCAGAGUUCCAGGCCCCUCUGCCUUGAUGACAAUGCUUGGGAAUUUCUUCAGUUGGUCAAUGACCUUCUUACACAGCUGUCCCCAGAACUGAACCUGGCAUUGAAAGUACUUUAA
Molecule: long non-coding RNA, 748 nt
Filed under: Saimiri boliviensis boliviensis (Bolivian squirrel monkey)
Lineage: Eukaryota; Metazoa; Chordata; Mammalia; Primates; Cebidae
Description: lncRNA (ENSSBOG00000036570.1)
Source: RNAcentral